RNAcentral lists this microRNA precursor (101 nucleotides) under Mus musculus (house mouse). Its description in RNAcentral is "predicted gene, 55730 (ENSMUSG00002075323.1)". The record is from RNAcentral. Lineage: Eukaryota; Metazoa; Chordata; Mammalia; Rodentia; Muridae.
AGCAUGUGUUUCAUUGAUGCACACCAAAAUGUGCAUGUGUGUGUAGUUGUGUGCAUAUUCACUUCUCUAUGUGAAUAUGCAUAUACACACAUGCAGACACA